This 763-nucleotide long non-coding RNA is filed under the name Coturnix japonica (Japanese quail). RNAcentral's name for it is "lncRNA (ENSCJPG00005005951.1)". The record is from RNAcentral. Lineage: Eukaryota; Metazoa; Chordata; Aves; Galliformes; Phasianidae.
UUACUCCUUUUAUUCAGAUUUAAAGCCAUGUCAUAUUCACGUUUCAAUGAUUUCCAGUGUGGUUUUGCACUAAAAAUAUUCGGGGAAUUAGUUUGGAUCAAUAGAAAACAAUUGUAAACCGUGACACCAUCUGUGCGUAUGGAGGAAGGCUGGAUGAAAUCAAGAGGGUAUCUGUGCUUUCACAAACAAAAUGUUCUGAACUGCUGCACUGCGAAGUACUGAUAACUCUAAAUAUUAAUAGUAAUAAAAAUGGACUAAAACCAGACACCAGCUCUGUAAACUCUCUCUCCAUUUCCUAGGGCCGUUAGCUGCCUCUGUUUCUAGGACUAAAGAAUCAGCUUCGGUCCAGACAAGGGUGGAAUUGUGCCAUUGGUUUCUGAGAAAAUCACUCAAGUGGGAGAAAGAACUAUGUAAACAAGCAGAAAGAGAAGAACACAGAAAUUACAGAAUGCAUUACCUAUUUCUCUGAGGCACAGGAGAUCAGUCUAUGGAUGGUAAGCUUCUAAGUUCCAGAUUUGCAGACUUUAAAGCCAAUUACACCAUACUUCUGGUUUAUUUUGGCCUUCCUUCUACCAGGCCACAGUUCUCUCAGUGUUAACAAUAACAGAAUUUUUCCAUUUGAACAAUUUUCAGUAAAAUGAAAAACAAAUGUCAGUUAUUCUCAUCUGCCAUCACAUAUAUCCCAGUGUGACUGGAGACAAAAACUGCAGAUUUUAGGAGGGCACAUGAAGACACAUUUUACUGAAGAACAGAAGGAAGGAUA